UUGAAGAAUUAAUGUCCGAAAUCGUUCAGGAAAUUGUUCAGAAAUAUUUAAUGGAAUCUUCCGAUUACUUGAUAAAAAAUAAUGAUGGUCAAGAAAAACGCAAGACGGACGAAAUAAAUAUAAACAAAACAUUAACCGAGUUAAUGGAUAUACAGCAAAAUAAUGAUUUUAUUCCUUCUGCUCCACCACUUCCCCAAACUCUACCAACUCUACAAAAAACAGAAAAUAAUAUUAAAAACAAAGGUAAGGUUUAUAGACCAGCAGGUCUACCAAAAAAUCUUAUAGAGGAAAUCAAACGCGGCGUGAAAUUGAAGAUAUCAUUCCUUCACCACCUCCUCAUACUCUACUAAUGCCACUAAAAUCAGAAAACAAUGUAAAAAGCAAAGGUAAGGUUUAUAGAACAGCAGCUCUACCAAAAAAUUUUAUAGAGGAAAUCAAACGCGGCGUAAAAUUGAAGCCGGUGAAGCCAGUAGUUUCAGUAAUAGAAAAUCCAAAAAUAAACGAAAAUGAUUUUGAAAGAAUGAACCCAUUAGGUAUUCCAAUGUUUCGUCGGGCAAGUAUGAUGUCGAGCAGUUCUAGCUCCGAUACGUCAUCGGAAUACUUUUCUCUAGAUGAAUGGGAUAACUAAAUAAAAAUUAAUCGAAAAGUAAAGCUUGAAUAAACAAUGGCAAGUGGUAAUUAAUAAGUCAACCGCUCCUGAGCAUAGUUAGUGUGUAAUCGAAGAGUGAUCAAGAUGAGAUGAGGUUACCGGUUUGUCUAAAACGAACAGACAACCGGAUCAUACCUUGACUUUGUACUUUCUAUGUUUUUAAAACCAAUUGCUAACAGUAAUGUUGGAGGUUUUUGAGAGAAAUUUUUUAAUUAAAAACUUAAUAUUAUUAUCCAAGCUAAUAUUUUCGAAUUAUUUUU
Molecule: RNA transcript, 909 nt
Organism: Daktulosphaira vitifoliae (grape phylloxera)
Lineage: Eukaryota; Metazoa; Arthropoda; Insecta; Hemiptera; Phylloxeridae
Exons: 4
Source: RefSeq, a predicted model, not a curated record